Molecule: unclassified non-coding RNA, 542 nt
Filed under: Hevea brasiliensis (rubber tree)
Lineage: Eukaryota; Viridiplantae; Streptophyta; Magnoliopsida; Malpighiales; Euphorbiaceae
Source: RNAcentral
GUCCCCAUUAAAGGAAUAUUUUGUAUGGUCUAAACAUAAAUGAAGUGGGGCAUCUUUAAUGAGUUUAAUAUAGGUCGCAGUUGAAAUGUGAUAAACAUAAGCUCACAAGUAUAAACUUAAAUUUGGAGUAAAACUUUCAAGUUGGAUGAAAGUUUCACCUGGAGUUACUGACAUCGAUUAGCCAUUGAAAGUUGCAAAAAUUAGUCCAUAUCUAGACUUUGCUACUGUAGACAUAAUAAUGGCCGUUUGAAUUAGCACUUCAGUGGUAUUCUUUCCUUAUGAAGCCUCUAAAGUACUGAUACUUGAUGGCUUGGACUUGUCUCUUUCUUUACUUGUGAAUUGGCUUUGGAAAAGUCACUGGUUAGUAGUUUCUGCAAGUUGCAACAUCUAAUUGGCUAAUGAAUGCAUCAAAGCUUUGCUUUUUUCAUUACCCAAUGAAUUUUCCUUAAUCUGAAAUUUGUAGCUUAUCAUCAGGAGGAGCCUCACAUGAGCUUCUGCCUUCACGUUCUGUCAACCAAAUUCACUCGUUUUCGCUUUUGAUA